Molecule: ribosomal RNA, 460 nt
Filed under: uncultured Rhodocyclaceae bacterium
Lineage: Bacteria; Pseudomonadati; Pseudomonadota; Betaproteobacteria; Rhodocyclales; Rhodocyclaceae
Description: bacterial SSU rRNA
Rfam family: Bacterial small subunit ribosomal RNA
Source: RNAcentral
CCCGCACAAGCAGCGGAGCGUGUGGUUUAAUUCGAUGCUACACGAAGAACCUUACCAGGGCUUGACAUGCAAGUGGUAGGAACCGAAAGGCGACCGACCUUCGGGGAGCUUGCACAGGUGCUGCAUGGCUGUCGUCAGCUCGUGUCGUGAGAUGUUGGGUUAAGUCCCGCAACGAGCGCAACCCUUGUCACUAGUUGCCAUCAUUUGGUUGGGCACUCUAAUGAGACUGCCGGUGACAAACCGGAGGAAGGUGGGGAUGACGUCAAGUCCUCAUGGCCCUUAUGGGUAGGGCUUCACACGUCAUACAAUGGUCGGUACAGAGGGUUGCCAACCCGCGAGGGGGAGCUAAUCCCACAAAGCCGAUCGUAGUCCGGAUCGCAGUCUGCAACUCGACUGCGUGAAGUCGGAAUCGCUAGUAAUCGUGAAUCAGAAUGUCACGGUGAAUACGUUCCCGGGCCUU